GGCCGCAGUAUUCUGACUGUGCAAAGGUAGCAUAAUCAUUAGGUUUUUAAUUGGGAUCUUGUAUGAAUGAUUGGACAAGAGAAAUACUGUCUUUGUAUUAAAACUUGAAUUUAACUUUUAAGUGAAAAGGCUUAAAUACACUAAAGGGACGAUAAGACCCUAUAAAACUUUACAUUUAUGUUAAAUUUUAUGGAAUUUGAAGAUUAUAAUUAUUAGAUUUAAUUUUUUUGUUAUGUUGGGGAGACAAUAGCUAUAAUUAUAUAUAGUAACUGCUUUUAAGGGAAACAAAAAUAAGUGGAAAGAUUAGAGAUCCUUUAUUAAGAUUAUAAGAUUAAGUUACUUUAGGGAUAACAGCGUUAUUUUUUUUGAGAGUUCAUAUUGAAAAAAAAGAUUGCGACCUCGAUGUUGAAUUAAAAUAUCUUUAUAAUGCAGGUGUUAUAAGAGAAGGUCUGUUCGACCUUUAAUUUUUUACGUGAUCU
RNAcentral lists this ribosomal RNA (479 nucleotides) under Potamonautes sidneyi. Its description in RNAcentral is "partial 16S ribosomal RNA". It matches the Rfam family "Archaeal large subunit ribosomal RNA", at positions 2006 to 2675 of the family's 2987-position model. Lineage: Eukaryota; Metazoa; Arthropoda; Malacostraca; Decapoda; Potamonautidae. The record is from RNAcentral.